GGGUUGUGAGGUUAAGCGACUAAGCGUACACGGUGGAUGCCCUGGCAGUCAGAGGCGAUGAAGGACGUGCUAAUCUGCGAAAAGCGUCGGUAAGGUGAUAUGAACCGUUAUAGCCGGCGAUGUCCGAAUGGGGAAACCCAGUGUGAUUCGUCACACUAUCGUUAACUGAAUACAUAGGUUAACGAGGCGAACCGGGGGAACUGAAACAUCUAAGUACCCCGAGGAAAAGAAAUCAACCGAGAUUCCCCCAGUAGCGGCGAGCGAACGGGGAGCAGCCCAGAGUCUGAAUCAGCUUGUGUGUUAGUGGAACGGUCUGGAAAGUCCGACGGUACAGGGUGAUAGUCCCGUACACCAAAAUGCACAGGCUGUGAACUCGAAGAGUAGGGCGGGACACGUGGUAUCCUGUCUGAAUAUGGGGGGACCAUCCUCCAAGGCUAAAUACUCCUGACUGACCGAUAGUGAACCAGUACCGUGAGGGAAAGGCGAAAAGAACCCCGGCGAGGGGAGUGAAAAAGAACCUGAAACCGUGUACGUACAAGCAGUGGGAGCACCUUCGGGUGUGACUGCGUACCUUUUGUAUAAUGGGUCAGCGACUUAUAUUCUGUAGCAAGGUUAACCGUAUAGGGGAGCCGCAGGGAAACCGAGUCUUAACUGGGCGUUAAGUUGCAGGGUAUAGACCCGAAACCCGGUGAUCUAGCCAUGGGCAGGUUGAAGGUUGGGUAACACUAACUGGAGGACCGAACCGACUAAUGUUGAAAAAUUAGCGGAUGACUUGUGGCUGGGGGUGAAAGGCCAAUCAAACCGGGAGAUAGCUGGUUCUCCCCGAAAGCUAUUUAGGUAGCGCCUCGUGAACUCAUCUUCGGGGGUAGAGCACUGUUUCGGCUAGGGGGUCAUCCCGACUUACCAACCCGAUGCAAACUACGAAUACCGAAGAAUGUUAUCACGGGAGACACACGGCGGGUGCUAACGUCCGUCGUGAAGAGGGAAACAACCCAGACCGCCAGCUAAGGUCCCAAAGUCAUGGUUAAGUGGGAAACGAUGUGGGAAGGCACAGACAGCCAGGAUGUUGGCUUAGAAGCAGCCAUCAUUUAAAGAAAGCGUAAUAGCUCACUGGUCGAGUCGGCCUGCGCGGAAGAUGUAACGGGGCUAAACCAUGCACCGAAGCUGCGGCAGCGACACUAUGUGUUGUUGGGUAGGGGAGCGUUCUGUAAGCCUGCGAAGGUGUGCUGUGAGGCAUGCUGGAGGUAUCAGAAGUGCGAAUGCUGACAUAAGUAACGAUAAAGCGGGUGAAAAGCCCGCUCGCCGGAAGACCAAGGGUUCCUGUCCAACGUUAAUCGGGGCAGGGUGAGUCGACCCCUAAGGCGAGGCCGAAAGGCGUAGUCGAUGGGAAACAGGUUAAUAUUCCUGUACUUGGUGUUACUGCGAAGGGGGGACGGAGAAGGCUAUGUUAGCCGGGCGACGGUUGUCCCGGUUUAAGCAUGUAGGCUGAUUGUCCAGGCAAAUCCGGAUAAUCAAGGCUGAGGUGUGAUGACGAGGCACUACGGUGCUGAAGUAACAAAUGCCCUGCUUCCAGGAAAAGCCUCUAAGCAUCAGGUAACAUUAAAUCGUACCCCAAACCGACACAGGUGGUCAGGUAGAGAAUACCAAGGCGCUUGAGAGAACUCGGGUGAAGGAACUAGGCAAAAUGGUGCCGUAACUUCGGGAGAAGGCACGCUGGUGUGUAGGUGAAGUCCCUGCGGAUGGAGCUGAGACCAGUCGAAGAUACCAGCUGGCUGCAACUGUUUAUUAAAAACACAGCACUGUGCAAACACGAAAGUGGACGUAUACGGUGUGACGCCUGCCCGGUGCCGGAAGGUUAAUUGAUGGGGUUAUCCGUAAGGAGAAGCUCUUGAUCGAAGCCCCGGUAAACGGCGGCCGUAACUAUAACGGUCCUAAGGUAGCGAAAUUCCUUGUCGGGUAAGUUCCGACCUGCACGAAUGGCGUAAUGAUGGCCAGGCUGUCUCCACCCGAGACUCAGUGAAAUUGAACUCGCUGUGAAGAUGCAGUGUACCCGCGGCAAGACGGAAAGACCCCGUGAACCUUUACUAUAGCUUGACACUGAACAUUGAGCCUUGAUGUGUAGGAUAGGUGGGAGGCUUUGAAGCGUGGACGCCAGUCUGCGUGGAGCCAACCUUGAAAUACCACCCUUUAAUGUUUGAUGUUCUAACGUUGGCCCCUUACCGGGGUUGCGGACAGUGUCUGGUGGGUAGUUUGACUGGGGCGGUCUCCUCCCAAAGCGUAACGGAGGAGCACGAAGGUUAGCUAAUCCUGGUCGGACAUCAGGAGGUUAGUGCAAUGGCAUAAGCUAGCUUGACUGCGAGCGUGACGGCGCGAGCAGGUGCGAAAGCAGGUCAUAGUGAUCCGGUGGUUCUGAAUGGAAGGGCCAUCGCUCAACGGAUAAAAGGUACUCCGGGGAUAACAGGCUGAUACCGCCCAAGAGUUCAUAUCGACGGCGGUGUUUGGCACCUCGAUGUCGGCUCAUCACAUCCUGGGGCUGAAGUAGGUCCCAAGGGUAUGGCUGUUCGCCAUUUAAAGUGGUACGCGAGCUGGGUUUAGAACGUCGUGAGACAGUUCGGUCCCUAUCUGCCGUGGGCGCUGGAGAAUUGAGGGGGGCUGCUCCUAGUACGAGAGGACCGGAGUGGACGCAUCACUGGUGUUCGGGUUGUCAUGCCAAUGGCACUGCCCGGUAGCUAAAUGCGGAAGAGAUAAGUGCUGAAAGCAUCUAAGCACGAAACUUGCCCCGAGAUGAGUUCUCCCUGAGACUUUAAGUCUCCUGAAGGAACGUUGAAGACGACGACGUUGAUAGGCCGGGUGUGUAAGCGCAGCGAUGCGUUGAGCUAACCGGUACUAAUGAACCGUGAGGCUUAACCUUACAACGCCGAAG
RNAcentral lists this ribosomal RNA (2923 nucleotides) under Klebsiella pneumoniae. Its description in RNAcentral is "bacterial LSU rRNA". It matches the Rfam family "Bacterial large subunit ribosomal RNA". Lineage: Bacteria; Pseudomonadati; Pseudomonadota; Gammaproteobacteria; Enterobacterales; Enterobacteriaceae. The record is from RNAcentral.